RNAcentral lists this long non-coding RNA (852 nucleotides) under Calidris pugnax (ruff). RNAcentral's name for it is "lncRNA (ENSCPUG00000019244.1)". Lineage: Eukaryota; Metazoa; Chordata; Aves; Charadriiformes; Scolopacidae. The record is from RNAcentral.
CUUCCCGCGUUGUAUAGACACAUCUCGCAGGCUGCAAUGUAUAAAAAGGUUUCUUCUGUGUAGUGCAGGUCUCUGUCAGAGGUUUCAGGGCAUGACUGCAGGAGUGAGGAGCCGUGCUGUGCUGUGGAGAGGGAUUAGCUGGAGUCUCGGAUUCGGUGUGAGGGCUGGGGGCUGGCGGGUAGAUGUCAGGGUUCCAGCCAGCCCUGGGUGGGACUGCCAGAUCUGCCGCUCCACAGGGAGUCCAGAGUGUGAGGAUACCUCUAAGGCAAAACAAAGUGCCCUUGAAAAGCAGAGAGAAAUGCCAGAUUUGCCACCUUCUUCUUUUUCCCCUCCCUGGAAGCUGGCAGCCCAGAGUGGUGGGAAGGAGAGUCAAGGGCAUAAAUAAGCCAAGAGAGGAAAGGUGUAGCAAGGGUUGUGCUAAAAUGCCUGUUUCCUUUCGAAUUUCUACACCAUCAGAGGACAAACGACGCUUGACUGAGCAGGUUACUUCUAUGAAAAGCAACAUUCAAGAAGCUAGUCCAUAUCCUGGAAAUGGCUGCAUGGACACAUCUCUCAACAGGUGGUUCUGUUCUUUGACCCUGAGUUCAAAGCAUAUAACUACCUUCAGACUGCUGCUUUUUCACAGUUAGGCCCAGGAGAUGUAUAAAUGAUGAAUGGGAUAGGAUGGUGGCACAAACUUUUGAAAGAAGUUCAGAGACUGAGACAAAGGUGGGUCUAAGAGCUGGCAAACUCCUGUGAAAACCACUUGCAUGACUGAAGAACGUAUGCCUUGCAUACCUCUGCAUUCCUCUGUAGCUGCACUAAAGACCACUAAGAUGUCAACUCAAAAUGAUGACAAGGUCCUUAUUUUUC